Branchiostoma floridae (Florida lancelet) is the source of this 1397-nucleotide long non-coding RNA. RefSeq lists it as uncharacterized. The transcript has 2 exons. NCBI's taxonomy places the organism in Eukaryota, Metazoa, Chordata, Leptocardii, Amphioxiformes, Branchiostomatidae. The record is from RefSeq and is a predicted model, not a curated record.
UAAAACCUUUGUAUGCUAAUUCCUACACAAAGAUUUCUAUUCUUGUUUUUUCUUAACUGAAGAAAAUAUUUCUAAUAUAAUGAUCACUGAGCAAGAAUGUUCAAGAAAUUAAAGUAGAACUUUCUUUUCCAGUCUUCACACAAGAUUUGCUUCUUGUUUGUUCAAAUGGAAAAUAUUGCAGAAUCUAUCCUGAAGAUUAUUAUUCUUGCCUUAUACCAGUUUUUUCUUUAGGAUUUGUUUUUACCAGAAUAAGAUUCUUGAACUUUCUUGUUGUCUCAAUGUAGAAUGUCCGAGAAACGUAAUUCUUGGUUUUCAUGUUAUAACUUAAGGAAAUGCAAUAGUUUUUUAAUCAGUUUCUUGAGCAAAUACUGCAAAUAAAUCAAGAAAUUGCAAAACAACUUAUAACUAGCAUGAAAUUCUUAAAUGUUCUUGAAUGUUAUCUUUAUCCAUAAAGUUUAAGAAAAGACGUUUCUUGUUUUUCUUGAUGAUAUGUAAGGAGAUAUUUUUUCAGAACUCACUUGACUGAAUACUAAUAAGAAAAACAAGAAAUUAUGAAACAAGCUAUGACUAGCAGAAUAUUCUUGAAUGUUAUAAUCAUGUUUCUUAUCAAGAAAAUCUAAGAAAGAUGAUUCUCGUUUUUCUUAAUAAUAUUUAAUGAAAACAAUAAAAGUAUAAUUUUCUCCUUAUAUUAUUGACAACUACGUUUAAACAAUUGGAGCAUCAAGAUAUGAAAAAUAAUUUUGAGCUAGCAUUGAUUUUCUUUUGUUUUCCCAAUACGAGAGUUAAGAAAUAUUUUCUUGCAGUAAGAUUCUUCAUUUUGCUAAGGAUCAUGGGAAAUUACUCCCAUCAUCCUUUGCUGCGAUUUUGAACUGGGAGUCACAGUUGCAAGUCACAGUGCUCCAGCUCUGUAGUUUUUUUGCCUCAAAUGUCCUUUAGUUCUUACAUUAACAGGGAACAAAUAUGAUGUGUUUCGUAAAGACGAUUUUCUGCAUCAUGUGGGACCUUGCAUACAACGUGGCUAGCUUUUUUAGAGUUUCAAAAUGCUACCGAAGCCAAGGCCAAGCCGGAUGCCCCCCUCCCCCAUGCAGGCUCAGAAACCUACUGGUACAAGGAGGAUGUUCCCAUGAUCCCAUCUCAACUUUGGAAAAGCCCUUAACAAGGAGAAUUCUUCAUUAUAAAUACAGCAACGGCAACAUUGUAGCUCUAAUGGUUUCAGAUAAGGACAAUUAGUUAUAGUUGGCUGCACGGUACUGUAUCAGGAAAAAAUGUCAAUAAGCAAGCGUAAGUUACAAAAUGGUUGAUUUUUGCAAUCUUUGGUAAGGAAUGAGUAAUCGAGGAAAACACCACAAAACUUGUAUGAAUCAUAUUGAUGAUAAUAAAUAUGAUUGCCAUCAUGU